UCCCUCAUAGCUUAGUUGGUAAAGAAUCUGUCUGCAAUGCAGGAGACCCAGGUUCGAUCCCUGGGUUGGAA
This 71-nucleotide transfer RNA is filed under the name Ovis aries (sheep). It matches the Rfam family "tRNA". From Rfam's summary of the family: Transfer RNA (tRNA) molecules are approximately 80 nucleotides in length. Their secondary structure includes four short double-helical elements and three loops (D, anti-codon, and T loops). The record is from Rfam by way of RNAcentral. Lineage: Eukaryota; Metazoa; Chordata; Mammalia; Artiodactyla; Bovidae.